CUCUAGAGAUAGAGCUUCCCCUUCGGGGGCAAAGUGACAGGUGGUGCAUGGUUGUCGUCAGCUCGUGUCGUGAGAUGUUGGGUUAAGUCCCGCAACGAGCGCAACCCUUAUUGUUAGUUGCCAUCAUUCAGUUGGGCACUCUAGCAAGACUGCCGGUGACAAACCGGAGGAAGGUGGGGAUGACGUCAAAUCAUCAUGCCCCUUAUGACCUGGGCUACACACGUGCUACAAUGGGAAGUACAACGAGUCGCGAAGUCGCGAGGCUAAGCUAAUCUCUUAAAGCUUCUCUCAGUUCGGAUUGCAGGCUGCAACUCGCCUGCAUGAAGCCGGAAUCGCUAGUAAUCGCGGAUCAGCACGCCGCGGUGAAUACGUUCCCGGGCCUUGUACACACCGCCCGUCACACCACGAGAGUUUGUAACACCCGAAGUCGGUGAGGUAACCUUUUUGGAGCCAGCCGCCUAAGGUGGGAUAGAUGAUUGGGGUGAAGUCGUAACAAGGUAGCCGUAUCGGAAGGUGCGGCUGGAUCACCUCCUUUCUAAGGAA
RNAcentral lists this ribosomal RNA (543 nucleotides) under Enterococcus faecium. RNAcentral's name for it is "bacterial SSU rRNA". It matches the Rfam family "Bacterial small subunit ribosomal RNA", at positions 998 to 1533 of the family's 1533-position model. Lineage: Bacteria; Bacillati; Bacillota; Bacilli; Lactobacillales; Enterococcaceae. The record is from RNAcentral.